This 253-nucleotide ribosomal RNA is filed under the name uncultured bacterium. RNAcentral describes it as "partial 16S ribosomal RNA". It matches the Rfam family "Bacterial small subunit ribosomal RNA", at positions 524 to 776 of the family's 1533-position model. The record is from RNAcentral.
CACGUAGGGCGCAAGCGUUGUCCGGAAUUAUUGGGCGUAAAGAGCUCGUAGGUGGUUUGUUACGUCUUCUGUGAAAACCUAGGGCUUAACCCUGGGCUUGCAGUGGAUACGGGCAGACUAGAGGUAGGUAGGGGAGAAUGGAAUUCCUGGUGUAGCGGUGAAAUGCGCAGAUAUCAGGAGGAACACCGGUGGCGAAGGCGGUUCUCUGGGCCUUACCUGACACUGAGGAGCGAAAGCGUGGGGAGCGAGCAGG